UUAUUUUUACUUGUUUAUUUGUUGUAAUUGUGCGAUGGUAGCUCAGUAUUGUUCAGCAGAGUGUCUGUCAACAGGGGCGUAGCACAAAAUUCUGGACCCAUAGACAGUCUCUAUGGGCCCCUCCCCACAUCCUCAGCUAUUCAUUCUAGUGUCUUUGUGGGCCCUCCUCACAUGAGGGCCAUGUAUAAGAGUCCUCCCCCAAUACUACGCCCCUGUCUGUCAAUCUUGUACCACAUGUUUAACUGAAUCACAUACUUUCUGUACAGCAGCUAAAUCUACAACACCCUCUAGUGAAUUAAUUGGGGAAAUGAGUCACUUCGAAGAAUAGAAAUGCUUUCUUCUUUGGAGGGAGUUGUGCAGCACCUUUGUGGCUAAAAAAGAAACCCUGCUAUAUGAAAGAAAUCCUCAGGCAAUCUCAAGUUUUCACCAGGCCUAAUAUGAAAUCCUAACAGUCACUGAGGAGAGCACAGCUCUCAUCGUAUGUGAGACAUCUCCUCCAGAAAAGGUGUCUUCAUGCAGCCUGUGCAAAGCUGGUCCAUCCACAGCGGAGCCUCAUGCUGCAGAGGGGUGCGGCGGGGGUAGAACGUAUACGAGAGGUCAUAAUUCAAAAGACAGCUGAGGGAGGCCAUGUAGACAUCUGAGAAGCGACACAGACGUCUGGAGAAGUAGGUGUAUGACCGUCUUCUUUCACCAGUAACACCGGGAGCACCCACGGGAUCCUUGGGUCGCUUCUUAUCCCCAGUCGUGCAUCUGCGAAGAGGCUCGCUGGAUGUUGGUGCGUCGCCACUCGGCCUGUCUGAGUCCGAGCUGCAACUUUGUUCUUUUGUUUUUUCGCGGCCCUGCUUUCUUUCUCCGGUCACCCUGCAUGUGGUAGAAAGUCUGUUCACUUUGGGGGAUCGAGCAAGAGGAGGAGUCCUGUUUCCUGUAGUCCACAGUGUACGGGUUAAUGUUGUGCCCACUGUCUUUAAAGACAUUUUUACAAGUGCUAUGAGCACACGCCUAAAAACUGCUGCCUCUGCAAGCUGGUAGAUGAAAACAUCCCCUAGUCUUCAGUGUAGCCACGCCCCUUCGUUUAAAGGGGAGGGUCGGCAGUCCCUGCAGCCAAUCACAUAACCAUAGCUCUGACUAUCUGUGAUCAUAACAAACAUCUUUUGGGACAAAAUGUAAUUUUUAAUUUUGUAAGUUUCAAAAUGCAUUCACGACCUUCCUUUGUACACUGAAGGAGGAUAUCUUUACACAAAUAAUUUUUACUUUAGUUUAGCUGACAUUAUAAGCAAUGGUGAAAAGGGAGUAUUCAGAUCCUUUACUAAGUAAGUAAAAGUAGCAUUACCACAGUGUAAAAAUACUCCAUUACAAGUAAAACCCUGCAUUGAAAAUGUUACUUAAGUAAAAAAUAUGCAAGUAAUGUUAGCAAAGUGUGCUAAAAGUAUCAAAAGUAAAAGUCAAAGUAGAAAUUGGUAAGUGUUAUAUUAUUACUUUUGUAGUUGGUCAAGAUGGAGCUAAUUUUAAUCUAUUUAUUGUUGAAUGGAUGGAUUAAUCUACACCAGUGCCUCAUAUUUUAUGAUUAAUAUUUUAUGAUGCAUAUUUUACGUUUUGUGUGCAAAAAAUGCUAACUUAAGUAACUAGUAACUAAAGCUGUAAGGUAAAUGUAGCGGAGUAGAAGUAAGAAGUAGCAUAAGAUGGAAAUACUCAAGUUGAGUAAAAAGUACUUAAGUACAGUACUUGAGUAAAUGUACUUAAUUACUUUCCACCCCUGUGUGAAAGAGGACAUUAAAGUCUUUUUUAAACUUGUGCUGGUUCCUUUUUAUUUUAAUGUACAAAGGUAACUAAUUACAACUCAAGGGCUCUGUUGUUAUAAAAAAAAUAAUUCAAACCAACCGAUCAGAUUUUAAAAACCCUGACACAUGAAACGUUAUUGAUCUGGCUCUAUGUAAUAGGCCAGAGAAACUCUGCUUUAGUGGGGUUUUUGAUUUGGGUAUCUAUCAUACCAAUAUCAGACCACUAUUUGAUAGCCUGUGUUAGAAAUUUAAAAAAAGAAGACAUGCUAAAGCCAAUUUGUCAACAAGAAAAAUCUUGGAUCCCUAGAUCACAUUUAACACUCUGCUAUUAGAUUCAUAACCUGGAAAUCUUAUGGUACACAAUGGCUUAGCCUUCUUUCUGUGUAAGAACACAUUGAUCAUUGUUUGCUUAUAAAGGUAUUCUAAGUAGACUACUGUUUUAUUUAUCUUACUUCUCAUGUGGUGCCUAUCAGUUCUGCAGGCUGGCUCUAGAUACAGGUUCCAACAGUUAAGUACGAGGCAUGGAAAGUCUGUUGUACAACAUGUUGCUCCAUGCUCACGGAUACAAUCUACACCAGAUUAAGAAAUUUCAUAGUCUGAUGUCUCAAAGUAGUUUUGAGGAACUCAGAAUAACUUUAUGCUUUUAGUGAUACGGUAUUAACUUCGUAUUUUGAUGCCCUUUGAUUCUUUGCUUUUGUUUUACUGUAAUUUGACUGUUUUUGCAAUUUUGAUUAGUUCCAGGACCUGUGUCUUCAUCAGAUUGGGUUACGUGUGGUGGAAUUUUUAAAUUUAACAAAUCACAGAGGAACACUUGCACAAGAUGAAUCAUGUCCGGACUGCCCCAGAUUGUCUGGCACGUUACUCCAAAAUGGAAAUUCUAUUAUUAAACUGCUCAGCCGAGUCACCUCUAUAAGACUUCAGACGCAACAAAAGUUCAUUUAAAAUCUAGGAAAUUGAUUAUGCAGCAUGCUUGACAACUGGUUUAUGUUUACUUUCUCUCAUUUUCCUCCCUACUAGGAAAAAAAUUCCAUCAGUAUGCUAUUGUGGAAGUAAACCUUCAUUCACUUGUUUAUCACUGGGGUCUUGAGACAGAUGGCUAUUUACAUUGCCAUACAGAUAAACCCUGAGCUACUCAUCCAGGAAGAAGGAAGUAUUUGAGAAGCUUUCUUGAAAUUGUCAUGUGAAUUAAAUUUAUCAGGUGUUGAAGGGAUUAGCCAAAUAGUCGCUGGUAGAUUGAAUCAGAUUGUAUUGUUAAAUAGUCUGUCUGGGAUUUCAUGAGCUAUAUUCACCUUUUGUUGCCACUCAGACCUCUUGAUUAACCCUGCCCACAACCUAUUGUUUUAGACUAUCCUUGUUGUAACAGUAUAAAACCUUGCGCCAAACGUCAAUUUUCAGAGAAUUCUACAGCCCUGUCUUUACUGUGCAGUGAAUAAAACAUCUGAACCAGCCACAGAAUUAGACUUGAAGUCAUUGUUCUUCCACACUGUGUUACACAUGACGAACACUGUGUCUGGACUCAAAAGACCACGAUCAAUAUGCAGUGUUGGCUUGCUUUUAUUCUUCAUGACAAAUGUGAUUCACAGGUCAAUGAAAGGAACUUGCAUACACAUAAAAAGUUGAGGACCAUCAAAUGUGUUAUGCGGAGUGUGUGCAAGUCAUCCUUAGAACAAUUUACACAGAAUGCACACCACAUAAAUACAGUUAAAAUAUUAUACAACAAUGGUAAUUAAAUUAAACACACAUCUUCACAGUGAAUUAAAUAGAUUAAGAAAUCCAUUUACAACCUUCAAAGCAAUAUGACAUAAUGUUAAAGCAUUUUCACUUUUUAGCAGGAGUUCAUGAAUAGUCAACCAAUAACAGUCCAGUCCAAAAACUCGUAUUACCACUUUCAAAACCUCAUCGUAACAUUCAAUCUAUAAUGUUUUUAAUGUAUUAUGUUAUUCAUUUUCUGUGUUCAUAAUCUUAAUACAGUAACAUUUCUCACAGUAACACUUCUCUAAAAUAAAUAUACAGCAGAUGGUGACCAUUAAUUUCAGGGGAAGCUAAUGUCAAACUAUUCAUUAGUUCAUACUGAUGAGUUCAUACAAGGCAUGCUACCUAAAAAGUGAAAAUAAUUUACCAUAAUGAGGUAUCACUUAGUUCAGUGCUAACACUGCUUAAUAGGUUUUCUCAAAAGUAAAACAUACCUUCAAAAAACAUCACAACUACAGUGUUGAAUAGUAGCCUCUACUUAGAAAAUGUGGUGUAGUCUAAAAACAACAGACAAGAUCAAAACCAAGGCACUAAAAAAAUAAAACCAUCAGCAGGAUGUAGGCUUCUUCUACUAAACCACAGGACAGUUGAGCUUUUU
Siniperca chuatsi (mandarin fish) is the source of this 4128-nucleotide long non-coding RNA. RefSeq lists it as uncharacterized. The record is from RefSeq and is a predicted model, not a curated record. NCBI's taxonomy places the organism in Eukaryota, Metazoa, Chordata, Actinopteri, Centrarchiformes, Sinipercidae. The transcript has 2 exons.